RNAcentral lists this ribosomal RNA (474 nucleotides) under uncultured bacterium. RNAcentral describes it as "bacterial SSU rRNA". It matches the Rfam family "Bacterial small subunit ribosomal RNA", at positions 17 to 518 of the family's 1533-position model. The record is from RNAcentral.
UUCUGGCUCAGGAUUAACGCUGGCGGCGUGCCUAAUACAUGCAAGUCGAAUGGUAGCAAUACCAUGGCGAACGGGUGAGUAACACGUAGGUAACCUGUCUUUAAGCCGAGGAUAACCAUUGGAAACGAUGGAUAAUACUGGAUAGGACAUUUGAAGGCAUCUUUUAAUGUUUAAAGAUUUAUCACUUAGAGAGGGGCCUGCGGCGCAUUAGCUAGUUGGUGAGGUGAAGGCUUACCAAGGCGAUGAUGCGUAGCCGGACUGAGAGGUUGAACGGCCACAAUGGAACUGAGAACGGUCCAUACUCCUACGGGAGGCAGCAGUAGGGAAUUUUCGGCAAUGGGCGGAAGCCCUGACCGAGCAACGCCGCGUGAACGAAGAAGUAUUUCGGUAUGUAAAGUUCUUUUAUUAGGGACGAAAAGACAGAUUGACGGUACCUAAUGAAUAAGCUCCGGCUAACUACGUGCCAGCCGCGGC